RNAcentral lists this signal recognition particle RNA (319 nucleotides) under Microcebus murinus (gray mouse lemur). RNAcentral's name for it is "Metazoan signal recognition particle RNA (ENSMICG00000030670.2)". It matches the Rfam family "Metazoan signal recognition particle RNA". Rfam says of the family: The signal recognition particle (SRP) is a universally conserved ribonucleoprotein. It is involved in the co-translational targeting of proteins to membranes. The eukaryotic SRP consists of a 300-nucleotide 7S RNA and six proteins: SRPs 72, 68, 54, 19, 14, and 9. Lineage: Eukaryota; Metazoa; Chordata; Mammalia; Primates; Cheirogaleidae. The record is from RNAcentral.
UCUGGGCAUGGUGGCCCAUGCCUGUAGUCCCAGCUACUCAGGAGGCUGAGGCAGAAGGAUUGGUUGAGCCCAGGAGAUUGAGGUUGCUGUGAGCCAGGCUGACGCCACGGCACUCACUCACUCUAGCCUGGGCAACAAAGUGAGACUCUGUCUCAAAAAAAAAAUUUCUGCCAAGAUCAUGUAUUAUUUCUUGGUUAAAAACAAUUUUUGUUUUUGACACAGAGUCUUGCUUUGUUGCUCAGGCUAGAGUGAGUGCCGUGGCAACAGCCUGGCUCACAGCAACCUCAAACUCCUGGGCUCAACCGAUCCUCCUGCCUCA